UGCCUAAACAAAUGCACACCCUUCUCCCAUCUCUCGAGCAUCUGGAAAUAAAAGUCUGUCUAGAAUUCAAAUCCUUUCCUGAAGGGGGAUUGCCGCCAGCAUUAAAAUAUCUUGGAUUUGAUUGUUACAAAGGACUCUUUGAAAACCGCCAGCAUUGGGGUCUAGAAACAGUCAGCUCUAUUAGAGAUCUGAGUAUCUCGUUUCAGGAUGGUGAAGAAGUAUAUACAUUUCCCGAGAGACUGCUUCCUACCUCUCUCACUUGUCUCUCCAUCUCCGACCUUCCAAAUGUUACGACCUUGGAGGAGUUGAGUUGCUUCAACUCUCUUUAAUUGUUAUACAUUGCUAGUUUGCCCAAGCUUUAGAGCUUGCCAGAAGAAGAGCUAGCUUCUUCUCUUUCUCGGUUGGUGAUCUGGGACUGUCCUUUGCUCCAAGAACGAGUCCAGAAGGAGAGAGGGGAAGAUUGGUCCAAGAUUGCUCACAUCGCUUGCAUAGAGAUCAAUGGAAAGGAGAUAUGAUAUGCUAUAUAUGAUGAUGAGUCCCCAGUGCUCUCUGAGGCUCUUGACUUCUCGACUUUCUACAAGCUUCUGAUGUGUACUUCAUGGUUCUUGACCGAGUUAUAACUUCAUCUGAAAGGAGUAAACAUUGUAGUUGCUGAUAAUUCAACCGUGUUGGCACUAUCAACCUCUACAUGCCCUUCAGAUUUUGUACUUCAGCACUUGCCAUCCCAUUUGGAUUUUCUCGGCAAUUAAUUACCGGGGGCUGACAAUUUCCUCCAAAUGACAUCAUUGUUUUUCCAUUGUUUGUUCUUAAGAAUUAAUUCAACUUGUGAUUAAUUAUGUAUCGUCCACCAGGUCCAACAACUUUGAUUCAAUAUAUUCGUGCUAAAUGUGGGUUGAUGACAAUUGAUGACCCCAUCCUAAUGAGGACAAAAGCAAGCUAUUGUAACCCUCAAAAUUAACUCAAGCUUAGCUCACCAGAGUUACCAGGUCUUUUAAGUUGCAAGCCAAAAGAAAGGAAGGAAGAAGUCUCUGUAGGCUGUUUGGAUCCUUGUAUAUGAUAUAUGAAAUAAGUUCAGUUUAAAUUAUUAUUACCAUUAGAGAUUAAUGGGUU
Long non-coding RNA from Rosa rugosa (rugosa rose), 1110 nucleotides. RefSeq lists it as uncharacterized. Lineage: Eukaryota; Viridiplantae; Streptophyta; Magnoliopsida; Rosales; Rosaceae. The transcript is spliced from 3 exons. The record is from RefSeq and is a predicted model, not a curated record.